This is a long non-coding RNA of Perca fluviatilis (European perch), 468 nucleotides long. RefSeq lists it as uncharacterized. The record is from RefSeq and is a predicted model, not a curated record. NCBI's taxonomy places the organism in Eukaryota, Metazoa, Chordata, Actinopteri, Perciformes, Percidae. The transcript is spliced from 3 exons.
AUAUGAUUGAAAAUGCAUUGAUAUAUAGUUGACCGGGAAAUAUGAUUGAAAAUGCAUUGAUUUAUAGUUGACCGGGAAAUAUGAUUGAAAAGCCAUUGAUUUUUGGUUGACCGGGAGAUCAUCGGGUGGUAGACCAACGUACUGCACCGGACACAUCUCAUUUCUGGACUCUUGGGGCGAAUACGAUCAGAGAGGAAAAUGCCAGGCGGAGAGGGAAGAAAAGAGAUCACCUGCCAGAGGGACUGAAGCAAGUAAAAAGAUGCUCUUACACAGCAGAUGGGGACAGCCAGCGUCACCCAAUUUACUUUUGCCCAGGCCGUGCAACAGUUGCUGCGCUAUGCGUCAGAACGGGCAGGAUGGACUGGACGACAAUCAGUCAGACGUCAGAGGACCAUGAACUGUAACUAUGCUAAAGAGGACAAAUAAUGAAAUAAGAGGCUAAUAAAAUGAAUUUGUUUUUACCUUAAA